This 131-nucleotide ribosomal RNA is filed under the name uncultured bacterium. RNAcentral's name for it is "partial 23S ribosomal RNA". It matches the Rfam family "Bacterial large subunit ribosomal RNA", at positions 1 to 131 of the family's 2925-position model. The record is from RNAcentral.
GGUUAAGUGAAUAAGGGCGCACGGUGGAUGCCUUGGCACUAGGAGCCGAUGAAGGACGGGACUAACACCGAUAUGCUUCGGGGAGCUGUAAGUAAGCUUUGAUCCGGAGAUUUCCGAAUGGGGAAACCCGG